AAAGCUGUAGUAUAAAUUUUAGUAUAUUUUAUUGUCUGUAAGUAGGUGUGGGCUUUG
This 57-nucleotide transfer RNA is filed under the name Hammerschmidtiella sp. ZengetLiu-2016. Its description in RNAcentral is "tRNA-Asp". The record is from RNAcentral. Lineage: Eukaryota; Metazoa; Nematoda; Chromadorea; Rhabditida; Thelastomatidae.